RNAcentral lists this ribosomal RNA (415 nucleotides) under uncultured Micronuclearia. RNAcentral describes it as "SSU rRNA". It matches the Rfam family "Eukaryotic small subunit ribosomal RNA", at positions 493 to 900 of the family's 1831-position model. Lineage: Eukaryota; Rigifilida. The record is from RNAcentral.
CCUACGGGUCUUGUAAUUGGAAUGAGAACAAUCCAAACCCCUUAACGAGUAUCCAUUGGAGGGCAAGUCUGGUGCCAGCAGCCGCGGUAAUUCCAGCUCCAAUAGCGUAUAUUAAAGUUGUUGCAGUUAAAACGCUCGUAGUUGAAUCUUGGGCUGGACGGAACGGGCGGGCCAUGAGGUUUUAGCCUGUGCCGCUGGUCAAUUUACUUUUCCGGAGUGGACCGUGUGCCCUUAACUGGGUGUGCGGAGUACACUGCUCCGGACGUUUACUUUGAAAAAAUUAGAGUGUUCAAAGCAGGCGUUUUCGCUUUGUAUACAUUAGCAUGGAAUAAUGAAACAGGACUUUGGUCGUGUUUUGUUGGUUUUAAUGACCGAAGUAAUGAUUAAUAGGGAUAGUUGGGGGCAUUCGUAUUUA